This 290-nucleotide ribosomal RNA is filed under the name uncultured Eubacteriales bacterium. RNAcentral describes it as "uncultured Clostridiales bacterium partial 16S ribosomal RNA". The stretch from base 52 to 290 matches the Rfam family "Bacterial small subunit ribosomal RNA", at positions 100 to 339 of the family's 1533-position model. The record is from RNAcentral. Lineage: Bacteria; Bacillati; Bacillota; Clostridia; Eubacteriales.
CGAGAAGCUUUGGAAUGAAACUUCGGUUGAAAUGAAAGAGUGGAAAGCGGCGGACGGGUGAGUAACGCGUAGGCAACCUGCCCCAUACACAGGGAUAGCCUCGGGAAACCGGGAUUAAAACCUGAUAAUACAGGAGGAUCACAUGGUUCUUUUGUCAAAGAUUUAUCGGUAUGGGAUGGGCCUGCGUCUGAUUAGCUAGUUGGUGGGGUAACGGCUCACCAAGGCGACGAUCAGUAGCCGACCUGAGAGGGUAAACGGCCACAUUGGAACUGAGACACGGUCCAAACUCC